CAGUACAACAAAUCAAUGGCCUCCUGGACCUGCACGCUAAAGAGGGAGGGAUAUUUGCAUAACGAUCAUGGUAAUCACAACCUUUGAUUAUAUAGAAGGUGACAUAAUGGCUAUCUUGGACGUAUUUUAUGCUGGGUUCGCUAUCCCCACUACUGCAAUCCAAUUCUUCAAAUAAAAUACAAUCAGCUGUGCCAUCCGCAACCCGACGUCUCCGACCAAGAUUUUCUGGAUUCAAAGGAAGCCAACACAUUCUUGUUCAAACAAGGAAUCGGAAAGAGAUUGAGGGAUGCACCAAGGAGGAAAUUUAUGAAGUCUGCUAAAUUAAUGAGACACCAAUGCGGAUUAAGCUGACUUCUUACCGUCGGCAUAUUCAACCUUACAAAAUAUAUUGGUUCCCUCGUAUAUCGAGAUAUAAUAAAAAUAACAAGAAAUUUUUAUUUAAAUGGCGCUUUCCAUAACAAGAGUUAUAUCAAAGCGCUUUACAGAACGAAAUACUAUUACUACAAGAAGACCCUCCCCCCAAAAAAAAGAAAAAGAAACUUAACCAAAAAGAAGAAAUCUCCUGCUGGAAUUCUCUCCAAACAAAUUACUCAUUGUAGAAAAACAUAUAAACAAACCAAACUAGAAAAAUUCAAGACAUUUUUUUCAAGAAAGUUAGCUUUCAAAUGUUUUUGAAAGGUAUCAAAAAAGGGUUCAGAACGCAAAGAGACUGGAUGACAAUUCCAUAAGUGAGGAGCACUACUAGAAAAGGUUUUGUCACCAUAAGCCUUCGUUUUGCUUCUCUCAACUUGCAGAACGUUUUGAGAGGCGGAGCUGAGGAAUCUGGUAGGUACAUAAGGAGAAAUAAGGUCAGACAAGUAUAUGACAAGUAUAUACGAGAUAUAAUUAGUGGUGGUUUUCGUCUUUGAAAUAAAUAUCAAGUAUUAUGCCAUUUGCUUCCUAUUUAGAUUCGUGAACAUUCGAUAUGGAGCUCCUAGUUUUUAUCUAUUUUUAGUUCCUAUUGUUUUUGGAAGGGACUCUGUACCGAAGCCUCAGAUGUCUCAAAACAAUCUGGAUCUUGAUCCGCACAACAAAAAUACAUCUGCAAAGUUUUGGCCCAACCAAAUGAAUCAAGCCCCCCCCCCCGCGGGGACCGAAAUAGAACCUCAGCGCUUAGAACAUUCCUGUUGGGUACUUAAAGGUUAAAAGAGAUUACUGCAAGACACAACAGCUUCCCUUUCAAACUAAUACAACUUUCCUGUUAAAACAACUCUGUUUGCUUGAUUGCUUAUACGCUGACGGCUGCUCUGUAAUUUGAGGGAAAGUGUUAUGUAAGACUAAACAUUUCAAAAAUAAGAAUGACCUCUCCCUGUAAUGCACAGAUGUGAAAUCUUAAAAAUGUGACAAAGCAGCAAACAAUAAAAAAUACGUUUCAGUACUACAA
Acanthaster planci (crown-of-thorns starfish) is the source of this 1423-nucleotide long non-coding RNA. NCBI's taxonomy places the organism in Eukaryota, Metazoa, Echinodermata, Asteroidea, Valvatida, Acanthasteridae. The record is from RefSeq and is a predicted model, not a curated record.